AAUCAACGCUGGCGGCGUGCCUAACACAUGCAAGUCGAACGCGGUUACCCCGCAAGGGGUAACUGAGUGGCAAACGGGUGAGUAACGCGUGGGUGACCUGCCUUCGAGUGGGGGAUAACGUUUCGAAAGGAACGCUAAUACCGCAUGACAUCCUGCCUUUGGACAGGCGGAGAUCAAAGCCGGGGAUCGCAAGACCUGGCGCUUGGAGAGGGGCCCGCGUCCGAUUAGCUAGUUGGUGAGGUAACGGCUCACCAAGGCGACGAUCGGUAGCCGGCCUGAGAGGGCGGACGGCCACACUGACACUGACAUACGGGUCAGACUCCUACGGGAGGCAGCAGUCGGGAAUUUUGGGCAAUGGGCGAAAGCCUGACCCAGCAACGCCGCGUGAAGGAUGAAAUCCCUCGGGAUGUAAACUUCGCAAGAACGGGAAGAAUAAGUAAGGGUUAAUAUCUCUUACGAUGACGGUACUGUUUGUAAGCUCCGGCUAACUCCGUGC
RNAcentral lists this ribosomal RNA (496 nucleotides) under uncultured bacterium. RNAcentral's name for it is "bacterial SSU rRNA". It matches the Rfam family "Bacterial small subunit ribosomal RNA", at positions 32 to 508 of the family's 1533-position model. The record is from RNAcentral.